Molecule: unclassified non-coding RNA, 432 nt
Filed under: soil metagenome
Description: partial contains 5.8S ribosomal RNA, internal transcribed spacer 2, and large subunit ribosomal RNA
Rfam family: 5.8S ribosomal RNA (bases 1-120)
Source: RNAcentral
GAUGAAGAACGUAGCGAAAUGCGAUACGUAAUGUGAAUUGCAGAAUUCAGUGAAUCAUCGAAUCUUUGAACGCAUAUUGCGCUCUCUGGUAUUCCGGAGAGCAUGCUUGUUUGAGUAUCAGUAAACACCUCAACUUCCAUAUCUUUUUUGAAAUGGGAGUUGGACUUGAGUGAUCCCAACGCUUUUCCUCACCGAAAAGUGGCGGGUUACUUGAAAUGCAGGUGCAGCUGGACUUUUCUCUGAGCUAUAAGCAUAUCUAUUUAGUCUGCCUAAAAACAGAUUAUUACCUUUGCUGCAGCUAACAUAAAGGAGAUUAGUUCUUGUGCUGACUGAUGCAGGAUUCACAAAGACAGGCUUCGGCCGACUUUGUAAACUCGAUCUCAAAUCAAGUAAGACUACCCGCUGAACUUAAGCUUAUCAAUAAGCGGAGGA